This is a long non-coding RNA of Schistocerca americana (American grasshopper), 150 nucleotides long. RefSeq lists it as uncharacterized. The record is from RefSeq and is a predicted model, not a curated record. The transcript is spliced from 3 exons. NCBI's taxonomy places the organism in Eukaryota, Metazoa, Arthropoda, Insecta, Orthoptera, Acrididae.
GUUCGACAGCCAUCUUUCUGUAUUCGCUCUAUCAAGUGACGAAAUAAACGUCGUUUCGAUCCUAAAAACAACAGCUGCUUGAAGAAGGCGAUCAAUUCUGUAAUGGCGUCAGGCAGUGCCCUGGGAUCAGCCUAUUGAGGAAGGACCACC